RNAcentral lists this ribosomal RNA (450 nucleotides) under uncultured bacterium. Its description in RNAcentral is "bacterial SSU rRNA". It matches the Rfam family "Bacterial small subunit ribosomal RNA", at positions 354 to 796 of the family's 1533-position model. The record is from RNAcentral.
GUGGGGAAUAUUGGACAAUGGGCGAAAGCCUGAUCCAGCCAUGCCGCGUGUGUGAAGAAGGUCUUCGGAUUGUAAAGCACUUUAAGUUGGGAGGAAGGGCAGUAAGUUAAUACCUUGCUGUUUUGACGUUACCGACAGAAUAAGCACCGGCUAACUUCGUGCCAGCAGCCGCGGUAAUACGAAGGGUGCAAGCGUUAAUCGGAAUUACUGGGCUUAAAGCGCGCGUAGGUGGUUUUGUAAGUUGGAGGUGAAAUCCCCGGGCUCAACCUGGGAACUGCCUCCAAAACUGCAUGACUAGAGUACGGUAGAGGGUAGUGGAAUUUCCUGUGUAGCGGUGAAAUGCGUAGAUAUAGGAAGGAACACCAGUGGCGAAGGCGACUACCUGGACUGAUACUGACACUGAGGUGCGAAAGCGUGGGGAGCAAACAGGAUUAGAUACCCGAGUAGUCC